RNAcentral lists this long non-coding RNA (232 nucleotides) under Carica papaya (papaya). Its description in RNAcentral is "long non-coding RNA (CPAP_LNC011765)". The record is from RNAcentral. Lineage: Eukaryota; Viridiplantae; Streptophyta; Magnoliopsida; Brassicales; Caricaceae.
UCAAGUUUAAAUCUGGACCGUUCGAUCGUGAUUUAAUUAGGAUUAAAUCUGGGCCAUCCACCGCGAUGCAAUCUGGGCCGUCCGUGCGCGAGGGAACGGAUCUGGGCCGUCCGAUCGCGCGCACGCGGAUCGCCCACGUGGCCCGUCACCUGGUCAGCGUUUCCUUGCCACACGGCGCGUCCUGGUUAGCUGGGGUUACUGACCGAGCUGCUGACGUGGCUGCUGACGUAGU